RNAcentral lists this unclassified non-coding RNA (268 nucleotides) under uncultured archaeon. RNAcentral describes it as "16S-23S ribosomal RNA intergenic spacer". The record is from RNAcentral.
AGGCAAAAACACACUAACCAGAUGCCGAUAAACCGAUAAAAAUCCUCAAACCAUUCUCAAUAAUAACAGCUCAAUAAUGAGCUGCUGUUACAAACUUAAUAACGGCUAAUCUGUCGUUAUUAAACACAUCAAACUUUAAAAUUCAUCAUUUAGUGCACCCGGUAAGUAAAUUUCCGGGGAAGGACGGAUUGCCUGUGUGGAACCGCAGGUAGAUGAAGUCGUGUAUAUGUGCUGUAUACUGGACGCUAACUGGACCUGGUUAGGUAAA